Molecule: ribosomal RNA, 473 nt
Filed under: uncultured bacterium
Lineage: Bacteria
Description: bacterial SSU rRNA
Rfam family: Bacterial small subunit ribosomal RNA
Source: RNAcentral
ACUCCUACGGGAGGCAGCAGUGGGGAAUUUUGGACAAUGGGGGCAACCCUGAUCCAGCCAUUCCGCGUGAGUGAAGAAGGCCUUCGGUUGUAAAGCUCUUUCACAAGAGAAGAAACGGCAUAGGUUAAUAGCUUAUGUUAAUGACGGUACCUUGAGAAGAAGCACCGGCUAACUACGUGCCAGCAGCCGCGGUAAUACGUAGGGGUGCGAGCGUUAAUCGGAAUUACUGGGCGUAAAGCGUGCGCAGGCGGUUUGGUAAGUCAGAUGUGAAAUCCCCGAGCUCAACUUGGGAACUGCGUUUGAAACUACCAGACUAGAAUAUGUCAGAGGGGGUAGAAUUCCACGUGUAGCAGUGAAAUGCGUAGAGAUGUGGAGGAAUACCAAUGGCGAAGGCAGCCCCCUGGGAUAAUAUUGACGCUCAUGCACGAAAGCGUGGGGAGCGGAACAGGAUUAGAUACCCUGGUAGCGACUGA